This 497-nucleotide ribosomal RNA is filed under the name uncultured bacterium. Its description in RNAcentral is "partial 16S ribosomal RNA". It matches the Rfam family "Bacterial small subunit ribosomal RNA", at positions 28 to 507 of the family's 1533-position model. The record is from RNAcentral.
GACGAACGCUGGCGGCGUGCCUAAUACAUGCAAGUCGAGCGCUGAAGGUUGGUACUUGUGCCAACUGGGUGAGCAGCGAACGGGUGAGUAACGCGUGGGGAAUCUGCCUUUGAUCGGGGUACAACAUGUGGAAACGAAUGCUAAUACCGCAUAAAAACUUUAAACACAAGGGUUAAGGUUGAAAGAUGCAAUUGCAGCACUCAAAGAUGAUCCCUCGUUGUAUUAGCUUGGUGGUGAGGUAAAGCAGCAACAAGGCGAUGCUACGGAGCCGAACUGAGAGGGUGGGCGGCCCGAUUGGGAGGGAGACAGGGCACAAACGCCUACGGGAGGCAGCAGGAGGGCAUCUGGGGCAAGGGGCGAAAAGCUGAGCGCGAAACGCCGCGGGAGUGAAGAAGGAUUUCGGGUCGUAAAACUCGGUUGGUAGGGAAGAAAGUUGGUGAGAGUGGAAAGCUCAUCAAGUGACGGUAACUACCCAGAAAGAGACGGCUAACUACGUG